AUAAAGGACCGGGACAAGAAUCAUUCAUCGUAUGUUACCCGUUUCCAUCUUAGUGUGGAGCAAGCUCGUAAAUGUGCAGGCUCCUAGCUUCGUGAGCAUAGCUCACUUGCUUUCAAUAACUACCUAUGAUGGUUUCCUCAAAAUGCUCGAGUUGAAAUAUGCCCGCCGGCAUACAGUGAGGAUAUUCUUGAAGAUCCGCAACCUUUGAGGAUCUAUUGAAGAAGCAGUACAACAAAAAUGUUAGGGAAGGGUUAGGAGUCCCUGAUGUUUUGGUGAUUAACUUUGUGAUAAAGAAAGCAGCUGAUGAAAGCCAGACUAUUCUGGAGAAGACAUCGGUUGGACAAGGCAAUGAUGAAGGUCCACUAUGAAAAUUCCUCAAGCGUCAGGCCAAGAAGUUAAGGCGGUUAUCAAACCUUCUCAGUUGCCGUGACCCAGAAUAUGAUGAACCAUCUGCCUCUAGAUCUGGUUGAUGAACACUAUGAUGACAUGACUUUGGCGGACGCUCAAGUUCGGCCCGCAUACAUGUUGAAGCCUACGCAGCCCAUACACCGGUUCACGCCCAUUGAUUUUGACAACACAGGCAACCCAAAGGUGGUCGUAGGGAGCUUGCAGGUGGCGAGCUUGGAUGAUGAGAUGGAGGAGGAAGAGGAGACUCCUCCUGCCAGGAGGAAGAAGAUAACCACCAGGCAUGGUGGCAGGAACACGCGCGGAAGGCAUUAGUCGAUGUUGAUUUUAUUAUGAAAAUGAACUUGUCGCCGUUUCAUUAGGUUGAUGAAAUUGUGAGGUUAUGUGAUAUGUUUGUGAACUCUUAGUAGUGUGCUACUUGUUUUUGCGAACUUGUAGUUAU
Molecule: long non-coding RNA, 847 nt
Organism: Triticum dicoccoides
Lineage: Eukaryota; Viridiplantae; Streptophyta; Magnoliopsida; Poales; Poaceae
Exons: 4
Source: RefSeq, a predicted model, not a curated record